GUGUGGCGGGGGUGUCCCCUGCGGCUGUUCACGGUGGCGCUGCUGGAGGACAACAGUGAGCGGCUGCGGCGGCUGCUGGAGGCGGUGGCGCGACGUCGGGCGCUGCCCGCCCAGGUGGAGGUGGUGGAGCUGCACGACUCGGCGGUCUCUGAGUACACCUACGAGCGGACGCUGAUGAUGGAGCAGCGCUCUCAGAUGCUGCGGCAGCUGCGCCGCGCACAGGGAGGCCCCGCCCCCUCGCAGCCGCCGAGCGCCGAGGAGGAGGAGGGGGGGGGAGGGGAGACCCGGCGGGGACCCAGCGCGUGAGUGACACCGCGGCCUUAUACUGGUUUAUACUGGGAGGGACUGGGGGGCACUGGGAGGGACUGGGGGGGGCUGGGAGGGAACUGGUUUAUACUGGUUUAUACUGGUUUAUACUGGGAGAGACUGGGGGGGACUGGGAGGGACUGGGAGGCUGAAAGGAGACACUGGUGGUUACUGCUCUAUACUGGUUUAUACUGGUAUAUAUUGGUCUAUACUGGUUUAUACCAGUCCAUACUGGUUUUUAUUGGUUUAUACUGGUAUACGUUGGUCUAUACUGGUUCAUACUGGUUUAUACUGGUAUUAUCAGUCUAUACUGGUUUAUAUCAGUCUAUACUGGUUUAUACUGGUCUAUACUGGUGUAUAUCAGUCUAUACUGGUUUAUGCUAGUUCAUACUGGUUUAUACUGGUAUAUACCAGUCUAUACUGGUCCAUACUGGUCCAUACUGGUAUAUAUCAGUCCAUACUGGUCUGUACUGGUCUAUACUGGUACAUAUUAGUUCUAUAUUGGUUUAUACUGGUUUAUACUGGUCCAUACUGGUUUAUAUUGGUCUGUAAUGGUUUAUACUGGUCCAUACUGGUUUAUACUGGUCCCAGGGCGAACGUGCGCCGCAUGCACGCGGCCGUUAUACUGGUAUAUAUCAGUCUAUACUGGUUUAUAUCAGUCUAUAGUGGUCCAUACUGGUCCAUACUGGUUUAUACUGGUCUAUAUCAGUCUAUACUGGUUUAUACUGGUAUAUAUCAGUCUGUACUGGUAUAUAUCAGUCUAUACUCGUUUAUAUUGGUUUGUACUGGUUUAUACCAGUCUAUACUGGUCCAUACUGGUCCAUACUGGUUUAUACUGGUCCCAGGGCGAAUGUCCGCCGCAUGCACGCGGCCGAGCGCCUCAACGCCGCCAUCUUGGGGCGCUCGGGGGGGGCGGGGCUGGUGCUGCUGGACCUGCCGCCCCCUCCCCCACCCCGGCCCCGCCGGCCCAUGGAGAACUACCUGGAGUUCCUGGAGGUUCUGACCGAGGGCCUGGGGCCGGUGCUGCUGGUGCGGGACGGGGACGGCGAGGGAGACCAGUAUGGAACUGGGAGCACUGGGAGCACUGGGAACGGCACCGGGGAGCCCUGAGAGACCAGUGCUUCCAGUAUGGAACUGGGAAUGGGAAACUGGGAGCACUGGGAAUGGGGAACUGGGAGCACUGGGAAUGGGGAACUGGGAGCACUGGGAAUGGCAAACUGGGCAAACUGGGAGCACUGGGAAUGGGAAACUGGGAGCACUGGGAAUGGGGAACUGGGAGCACUGGGAAUGGGGAACUGGGAGCACUGGGAAUGGAACUGGGAGCACUGGGAACGGCACCGGGGAGCCCUGAGAGACCAGUGCUCCCAGUAUGGAACUGGGAAUGGUCCCAGUACUCCCAGUAUGGAACUGGGAUGGGCCCAGUGCUCCCAGUAUGGCCCCAGUGCCCUCCCAGUGCUCCCAGUAUGGAACUGGGAUGGGCCCAGUGCUCCCAGUAUGGGACUGGGAUGGUCCCAGUGCUCCCAGUAUGGAACUGGGAUGGGCCCAGUGCUCCCAGUAUGGAACUGGGAAUGGGCCCAGUGCUCCCAGUAUGGGACUGGGAUAGGCCCAGUGCUCCCAGUAUGGGACUGGGAUGGGCCCAGUGCUCCCAGUAUGGAACUGGGAUGGUUUUUUGCACUUUGAUCUCACCAAAGACCCUCAAUAAACGACCCAAAAAUGGAAUUUUUGGGAGAAAAAGGAGCCGGAAGUUGCAGUUCUUGAGCGCGGAAGGCGGAAUUCUGGGCAAAUUGGGAAUUCUUUGGGAUUUUGGGGUCCCUGAGGGGAAUUUUGGGUUUCCCUGGAGGAAUUUUGGGGAUUUUUGGCAUCCCUGAGGGGAUUUUGGGGUUCCUUGAGGGGAAUUUUGGGGUUCCCUGAGGGGAUUUUGGGGUUCCCUGAGAGGAUUUGGAGUUCCCUGAGGGGAUUUUGGGGUUCCCUGACGGAAUUUUGGGGAUUU
This is a long non-coding RNA of Taeniopygia guttata (zebra finch), 2296 nucleotides long. NCBI's taxonomy places the organism in Eukaryota, Metazoa, Chordata, Aves, Passeriformes, Estrildidae. The record is from Ensembl.